CCGCGGGCCUGGAGUGAUGCUCGUCUGCCCGUCUCCGCGGCUUAGGCCCUGGUUUUAGGUCUGAAUUAGGGAUCUCGGAUUUCUCUGAGGACGGAUCGGCACAGUGGCUGUCCCUACCACCCCAAAGUGGACGUGCGCGUAGCGUGGGUUAGAAUUGUGGUUGUCUGCUGCGGAAGGACCCGGCCUCAGUCUGCGAGGGUGCCCUCGGCGAUUUGCAUUCUGUUCAGUCCGCACGCGAGCGUGGCCGACGGCGUCUGCCUGAGAGGACGAGGAGGUGUGUGACGCCGGCUGUGCGGGUGGCACGGGACUUGCUGUGUCUAAGCCAGAUGUGGUUUCCUCACUGAAGGAAACGAGACAGCCCUGAAUGGUGGAGAGAGCAGUCAGUAAACGGGCUGCAGGAAGAGGGAAGCCGUUGCCAGUAAAGCUCAGCUGGUGUGAAGAGUCGGAACGUGAAGAUGUUGUUUGAGAAGCCUUCUUCUCAAAGGCCAAAGGAGAGAACUGAGGCCGCUUCAGCCUGAGUUCCCAAAGACAUGUCACCCUCAUCCCCAUGGGUCACUGUGUCCACAGGUCUUUCCAUAAUUCCCUCCAGGUCCAAAGAGAGGGAGAUUAGCCUUCACAGAGUUUGUGAUUAUAAAAGAAAUACAUACUAAGCAUUAAAAUUCAGAAACCAGAGAAUCCUAAAAUAACGAUUGCCCACUAUGAACAUUUUAUUGAAAAUCUCUUUACCCUCUUUCUAUGUAAAGUCUUUCCUUUCAAACACAGAAUUCACUAAAUGUUGCUGUUCUGAAACCUACCUUCCUUACCUAACACUAGUGAACAUUCUUCCAUGUCAACAGGUAAGGGUCUAGAGCAUCCAUUGUAAUGGCUGUAUUUGUUUAAAAGACGGAGGCAUAUCUUUGGGCAAAUUCCUAAAAUUGGAUGGCAGGUAAACAUAUAGUUUUCAUACAUACUACCAAAUUCCCUGCUAUAGUGCUUGUACCAGCAAUAUAUGAGACUGCUUAAUCUCCUGCAUAUUAGUUUUCUGUGGCUGAUGUAACAAAUUACCACAAACUGGGUAGCUUAAAAUAAUAGAUAUUUAUUCUCUGUCACAGUUCUGAGGUCAGAACUCAAAAAUCAAGGUGUCAGCAGGGCCAGACUCCCUCUAGAGACUCUAGGGGAGAAUCUGUUCUUUGCCUCUCCCAGCUUUUGGUGGCUGUAGGUAUUCCUUGACCUGUGGCCCCCUCACUCUAAUUUCUGCCUCCAUGGUCACACUGCCUCCACCUCCUCUGUCAAAUCUUUCUCUGCCUCACUCUUACAAGGACACUUGUCAUUGGAUUUAGGGUCCACCCAGACAAUCGUGGAUGAACUUUUCAUCUCAAGAUCCUUAACUUAAUUGUAUCUACAAAGACCCUUUUCCCACAUAAAGUAACAUUCAAAAGUUCCAGAGAUUAGGGUGUGGACAUAACUUUUUUUGAUGUCACCAUUCAGCCCAUUACACCCUGCCUUAUGAACAGAAUAUGCUGUUAUACUUUUUAAUUUCUGCCAUUCUGAUAGGUGAAAAAUGGUCUCAGUAUCAUUUUAAUUUACAUUUCUCUUUUCAUACAUAUAAGGGUCACUGAUCUAUUUGGAGUUUACAUAUUUUUUGUGAAUUGUUUGUUUCUUUUAUCCAUUUUUUUCUGUCAAGUUUUUUGGUCUUUCCUCAACUGUAAGAGCUUUUUUAAAAUUGAGGUAUAAUUGACAUAUAACAUUAUAUUAGAGUUAUGCAUCGCUUAAUGACAGGGAUACAUUCUGACAAAUGCAUUGUUAGGCGAUUUCGUCAUUGUUCAAACAUCACAGAGUGUACUUACACAAACCUACAUGGCAUAGCCUACUACACACCUAGGCUAUAUGGUACUAAUCUUAUGGGGCCACCAUUGUAUAUGCGGUCUGUCAUUGACCAAAACAUCAUUACGUGGAGCGUGACUGCAGUUUCACAUGUACAACAUAAUGAUUCCAUACUUGUAGAUAUUGCAAAAUGAAGUGUUUUUUGGUAGUAGGAAUUCUUAUGGACUGAAUUAUGUCUUCUCGCUGGCAAAUUCAUAUGUUGAAGCCCUAAUCCUCAGUACAUUAGAAUGUGGCUGUAUUUGGAGAUAGGGCCUUUAAAGAAGUAAUUAAGUUAAAAUGAAGCUGUUAGGGUGGGGCCUAAUCUAAUCUAACUCGUGUCCUUAUAAGUGGAGAUAAGGACAUACACAGAGAGACACACCAGGGAUGCGUGCAUACAGAGAAAAGGCCAUCUGCAAGCUAAGAAGAGACCUCAGGAGAAAACAAAUCGGCCAACACCUUGAUCUUGGACUUCCAGCCUCCAGAACAAUGAGAAAAUUAAUUUCGGUUGUUUAAACCACCCAGUCUGUGGUAUUUUAUUAUGGUGACCCUAGCAAACUAAUACAGGAAUAUUAGCCCUUUAUUUGUGAUAUAUCUUGCAAACAUUUUCUCCCAAUUCGUAAGUUGUCUUUUGAUUUUCUUUUUAAUGUAGUCAAAUCUUUGAAUAUUUCAAAUUUUUCAAUAUUUUAUUGCAUCUGUUUUCUGAGUCAUAGUUAGGAAGUUCCUUUUUACACUGAAAUUAAAGAGGAAUUCACUGA
Long non-coding RNA from Diceros bicornis minor, 2597 nucleotides. RefSeq lists it as uncharacterized. The transcript has 2 exons. The record is from RefSeq and is a predicted model, not a curated record. Lineage: Eukaryota; Metazoa; Chordata; Mammalia; Perissodactyla; Rhinocerotidae.